AGGACGAACGCUGGCGGCGUGCUUAACACAUGCAAGUCGAGCGGAAAGGCCCUUCGGGGUACUCGAGCGGCGAACGGGUGAGUAACACGUGAGCAAUCUGCCCUUAGCUUCGGGAUAGCCCCGGGAAACCGGGAUUAAUACCGAAUAUGACCUCGGCCGACAUCGGCUUUAGGUGGAAAGUUUUUUCGGCUAGGGAUGAACUCGCGGCCUAUCAGCUUGUUGGUGGGGUAAUGGCCUACCAAGGCGACGACGGGUAGCCGGCCUGAGAGGGCGACCGGCCACACUGGGACUGAGACACGGCCCAGACUCCUACGGGACGGCAGCAGUGGGGAAUAUUGCGCAAUGGGCGAAAGCCUGACGCAGCGACGCCGCUGGGGGAUGAAGGCCUCGGUUGUAAACCCUUUCCUAGCAGGACGAAGCGAGAGUGACGGUACCUGCAGAAGAAGCGCCGGCUAACUACGCGCCAGCAGCCGC
Molecule: ribosomal RNA, 474 nt
Filed under: uncultured bacterium
Lineage: Bacteria
Description: SSU rRNA
Rfam family: Bacterial small subunit ribosomal RNA
Source: RNAcentral